This 253-nucleotide ribosomal RNA is filed under the name uncultured bacterium. Its description in RNAcentral is "partial 16S ribosomal RNA". It matches the Rfam family "Bacterial small subunit ribosomal RNA", at positions 524 to 776 of the family's 1533-position model. The record is from RNAcentral.
UACGGAGGGUGCAAGCGUUGUCCGGAAUCACUGGGCGUAAAGGGCGCGUAGGCGGCCUGGUAAGUAGGGGGUGAAAUCCUGCGGCUUAACCGCAGGGCUGCCUUCUAAACUGUCAGGCUUGAGCACGGUAGAGGCAGAUGGAAUUCCCGGUGUAGCGGUGGAAUGCGUAGAGAUCGGAAAGAACACCAACGGCGAAAGCACUCUGCUGGGCCGACACUGACACUGAGAGACGAAAGCUAGGGGAGCGAACGGG